GAUGAAGAACGCAGCGAAAUGCGAUAAGUAAUGUGAAUUGCAGAAUUCAGUGAAUCAUCGAAUCUUUGAACGCACAUUGCGCCCUCCGGCAUUCCGGGGGGCAUGCCUGUCCGAGCGUCACGAAAACCCCAUCACACUCGUUGUGGUCAUGGCUGCAGUGAGUCGUCUCCAGCGGAGAGGGUCACGCCGCUGAAAGGAAUGGUGCGGAUGAGUUCCGAUGGCCGAACGUAGUACUUGACAACCGUCGGCCGAUGGGACCCUCCAUCUCGCCCUGACGACGUACCCCCGUCGUACCCCCGAUCAGGUGGACCUCGGAUCAGGUAGGGAUACCCGCUGAACUUAAGCAUAUCAAUAAGCGGAGGA
Molecule: unclassified non-coding RNA, 363 nt
Filed under: soil metagenome
Description: partial contains 5.8S ribosomal RNA, internal transcribed spacer 2, and large subunit ribosomal RNA
Rfam family: 5.8S ribosomal RNA (bases 1-120)
Source: RNAcentral